Molecule: ribosomal RNA, 463 nt
Filed under: uncultured bacterium
Lineage: Bacteria
Description: partial 16S ribosomal RNA
Rfam family: Bacterial small subunit ribosomal RNA
Source: RNAcentral
AGUGAACGCUGGCGGCGUGCCUAAUACAUGCAAGUCGAACGAUGAAGUCCUAGCUUGCUAGGUUGGAUUAGUGGCGCACGGGUGAGUAAUAUAUAGUUAAUCUGCCCUACACAGAGGAACAACAGUUGGAAACGGCUGCUAAUACCUCAUACUCCUAUUUGACAUAAGUUAAAUAGGGAAAGUCUUUUCGGUGUAGGAUGAGACUAUAUCGUAUCAGCUAGUUGGUAAGGUAAUGGCUUACCAAGGCUAUGACGCGUAACUGGUCUGAGAGGAUGAUCAGUCACAUUGGAACUGAGACACGGUCCAAACUCCUACGGGAGGCAGCAGUAAGGAAUAUUGCGCAAUGGGGGAAACCCUGACGCAGCAACGCCGCGUGGAGGAUGACACUUUUCGGAGCGUAAACUCCUUUUAUCAGGAAAGAAUAAUGACGGUACCUGAUGAAUAAGCACCGGCUAACUCCGUG